This 484-nucleotide ribosomal RNA is filed under the name uncultured bacterium. RNAcentral describes it as "bacterial SSU rRNA". It matches the Rfam family "Bacterial small subunit ribosomal RNA", at positions 358 to 842 of the family's 1533-position model. The record is from RNAcentral.
GGAAUAUUGGGCAAUGGGCGAGAGCCUGACCCAGCCAUGCCGCGUGCAGGAAGAAGGCCUUCUGGGUUGUAAACUGCUUUUGAUCGGGAACAAAGAGCCCAUGCGUGGGAAGUUGAGUGUACCGAUAGAAUAAGCACCGGCUAACUCCGUGCCAGCAGCCGCGGUAAUACGGAGGGUGCAAGCGUUGUCCGGAUUUAUUGGGUUUAAAGGGUGCGUAGGCGGGCCCUGUAAGUCAGUGGUGAAAUACUGCAGCUUAACUGUAGCAUUGCCAUUGAUACUGUGGGGCUUGAGUACAGAUGAGGUAGGCGGAAUUGAUGGUGUAGCGGUGAAAUGCAUAGAUACCAUCAAGAACACCGAUUGCGAAGGCAGCUUACUAAGCUGUAACUGACGCUGAGGCACGAAAGUGUGGGGAUCGAACAGGAUUAGAUACCCUGGUAGUCCACACUGUAAACGAUGAUUACUCGAUGUUCGCGAUAUACAGUGA